RNAcentral lists this ribosomal RNA (372 nucleotides) under uncultured organism. RNAcentral's name for it is "partial 16S ribosomal RNA". It matches the Rfam family "Bacterial small subunit ribosomal RNA", at positions 527 to 896 of the family's 1533-position model. The record is from RNAcentral.
GUAGGGUGCAAGCGUUAAUCGGAAUUACUGGGCGUAAAGCGUGCGCAGGCGGUUUUGUAAGUCUGUCGUGAAAGCCCCGGGCUCAACCUGGGAAUUGCGAUGGAGACUGCAAGGCUUGAAUCUGGCAGAGGGGGGUAGAAUUCCACGUGUAGCAGUGAAAUGCGUAGAGAUGUGGAGGAACACCGAUGGCGAAGGCAGCCCCCUGGGUCAAGAUUGACGCUCAUGCACGAAAGCGUGGGGGGAGCAAACAGGAUUAGAUACCCUGGUAGUCCACGCCCUAAACGAUGUCUACUAGUUGUCGGGUUUUUAAUUAACUUGGUAACGCAGCUAACGCGUGAAGUAGACCGCCUGGGGAGUACGGUCGCAAGAUUA